RNAcentral lists this ribosomal RNA (1146 nucleotides) under Streptomyces hygroscopicus subsp. jinggangensis. RNAcentral's name for it is "bacterial SSU rRNA". It matches the Rfam family "Bacterial small subunit ribosomal RNA", at positions 294 to 1533 of the family's 1533-position model. The record is from RNAcentral. Lineage: Bacteria; Bacillati; Actinomycetota; Actinomycetes; Kitasatosporales; Streptomycetaceae.
UCUGGCUACACCGGCCACACUUGGGACUUGAGACACGGCCCAGACUCCUACGGGAGGCAGCAGUGGGGAAUAUUGCACAAUGGGCGCAAGCCUGAUGCAGCGACGCCGCGUGAGGGAUGACGGCCUUCGGGUUGUAAACCUCUUUCAGCAGGGAAGAAGCGAAAGUGACGGUACCUGCAGAAGAAGCGCCGGCUAACUACGUGCCAGCAGCCGCGGUAAUACGUAGGGCGCAAGCGUUGUCCGGAAUUAUUGGGCGUAAAGAGCUCGUAGGCGGCUUGUCACGUCGGGUGUGAAAGCCCGGGGCUUAACCCCGGGUCUGCAUUCGAUACGGGCUAGCUAGAGUGUGGUAGGGGAGAUCGGAAUUCCUGGUGUAGCGGUGAAAUGCGCAGAUAUCAGGAGGAACACCGGUGGCGAAGGCGGAUCUCUGGGCCAUUACUGACGCUGAGGAGCGAAAGCGUGGGGAGCGAACAGGAUUAGAUACCCUGGUAGUCCACGCCGUAACGGUGGGAACUAGGUGUUGGCGACAUUCCACGUCGUCGGUGCCGCAGCUAACGCAUUAAGUUCCCCGCCUGGGGAGUACGGCCGCAAGGCUAAACUCAAGGAAUUGACGGGGGCCCGCACAAGCAGCGGAGCAUGUGGCUUAAUUCGACGCACGCGAAGAACCUUACCAAGGCUUGACAUACACCGGAAAACCCUGGAGACAGGGUCCCCCUUGUGGUCGGUGUACAGGUGGUGCAUGGCUGUCGUCAGCUCGUGUCGUGAGAUGUUGGGUUAAGUCCCGCAACGAGCGCAACCCUUGUCCUGUGUUGCCAGCAUGCCCUUCGGGGUGAUGGGGACUCACAGGAGACCGCCGGGGUCAACUCGGAGGAGGUGGGGACGACGUCAGUCAUCAUGCCCCUUAUGUCUUGGCUGCACACGUGCUACAUGCGGUACAAUGAGCUGCGAUACCGUGAGUGAGCGAAUUCUCAAAAGCCGGUCUCAGUCGGAUUGGGGUUCUGCAACUCCGACCCCAUGGAGUCGGAGUGCUAAGUAAUCGCAGAUUCAGCAUGCUGCGUGAUACGUCUGCCGUGCGUCAUUAGAACAGGACGAGAAACUACGAAUGGGUGGCACUCUCCUCCGGUUCUCCAUGACUGAUUAUGCUGCACG